CGAAGGGGGCUAGCGUUGUUCGGAAUUACUGGGCGUAAAGCGAACGUAGGCGGUGUUCUAUGUCAGAGGUGAAAGCCUGGGGCUCAACUCCAGAAUUGCCUUUGAAACGGGGACGCUUGAGUCCGAGAGAGGGUGGCGGAAUUCCUAGUGUAGAGGUGAAAUUCGUAGAUAUUAGGAAGAACACCAGUGGCGAAGGCGGCCACCUGGCUCGGUACUGACGCUCAGGUUCGAAAGCGUGGGGAGCAAACAGGAUUAGAUACCCUGGUAGUCCACGCCGUAAACGAUGAGUGCUAGUUGUUGGGAAGUUUACUUCUCAGUGACGCAGCUAACGCGAUAAGCACUCCGCCUGGGGAGUACGGCCGCAAGGUUA
Molecule: ribosomal RNA, 370 nt
Filed under: uncultured organism
Description: bacterial SSU rRNA
Rfam family: Bacterial small subunit ribosomal RNA
Source: RNAcentral